RNAcentral lists this non-coding RNA (56 nucleotides) under Plasmodium falciparum 3D7. The record is from RNAcentral. Lineage: Eukaryota; Apicomplexa; Aconoidasida; Haemosporida; Plasmodiidae.
CCCACAAAAGCUGAAUAACUUAAUUCAUUAAUCAAAGGACACCCCUCACACUUAAA